UGGGGAGAUGGUGACAAAAGGAGAAGCGAAAGCGAGCACUCUGCCUCCACUGUCUCCGUCUCCAACUUGCCCUACUCUUUCACCAACUCUCAGCUGGAGGAGACAUUCAGCGACGUCUGACCAAAUAGGGGGUGCUGGUUACCAAGAAGGGGUCAACUGAGCACCGUACGUGGUUUUGGUUAUGUUCAAUUGUAAGUAAAGUCCAUGACUGCAAAAGAGCUAAAACAACUUUGUAUUGAUGCUGCAACCUCACGAGCUACAAAACAAAAACCUGCGAUCCAACAGGAUAAAGUUCUUGGAGGAUGUGAAGAAAGGAAAGCUUGUUGCAAAGAAUUUCUCGCGUGGAGCUGCUUUCGUUGAGUUUACAGAGCAUCUGAAUGCACUUGUGGCCUUGAGAGUUUUGAACAACAAUCCUGAAAUUUUGGUCCUGAGCAUCGCCCAAUUGUGGAGUUUGCACUUGAGAAUGUUAAAAAAUUGAAUAUACGAAAUGCUAAGAUACAAGCACAGCAGCAUGCAGCUCAUCGUAAUCGGGAAAACGUGCAUCAAAAUGAAGGCUCAAAUAGACCAGAUACUCAUCCAAGCAAGUAGUCCAAAAACUCGAA
Long non-coding RNA from Prunus avium (sweet cherry), 602 nucleotides. RefSeq lists it as uncharacterized. The record is from RefSeq and is a predicted model, not a curated record. Lineage: Eukaryota; Viridiplantae; Streptophyta; Magnoliopsida; Rosales; Rosaceae.